GAAAUCCCAGUCAAUCAGGAAUUGUGGAAGCUGAAGUCCAAAACAUCUAGAGGAUUCGAGUUUGAUGCCCCUCCUGAAAAUUUACAUUAUGUGCUUUGAACUGGAUUAUAUGGCAGUGAAAACUAAAAUAAUCCAGUUCAAAGCAGACAACGUGGAUUAUCUGAUUUGACAACCCAAAUUAUAUUGCAGUGUAGAAAGGGCCUGAGAAACACUGCACUAAGAGAUAGAAAAAGUUGUCCAGAGAUCUGGAACAAUGGAUUGUUUGCUGCUAACAUAUUGUAUUUUGAAAGCAACUAGCGAAGGAGAAAACGUAUCAGUCUGGAUAACCUUUGCCUUUCUUCUUAUAGUUUGAUAUCUUGGGGUGGAUAUUAGACAUUUUCGGUGCUGGAGAUGAACGGGGUAGACCUCACUACUAUCCUCCUCCUCCUCCUCCUCCUAGAUUUACUGGCUUUGGCUCUCCUGGUCUCAUUGAUCCUGGCUUUUCUCCCCACUUUCGCCCUGGUUUCAAUCGCCCUCCAUUUCCAGGAUAUCCUGCAAACGAAUUUCCACCUCCUCAGGAAAAUCCAGAAAAUGUAUCCCCACCUCCUCCAGGAAAUAGUACUGUAG
RNAcentral lists this long non-coding RNA (606 nucleotides) under Anolis carolinensis (green anole). RNAcentral's name for it is "lncRNA (ENSACAG00000037943.1)". The record is from RNAcentral. Lineage: Eukaryota; Metazoa; Chordata; Lepidosauria; Squamata; Anolidae.